RNAcentral lists this ribosomal RNA (119 nucleotides) under Pteropus alecto (black flying fox). The record is from RNAcentral. Lineage: Eukaryota; Metazoa; Chordata; Mammalia; Chiroptera; Pteropodidae.
GUCUACGGUCAUGUCACCCUGAACGUGCCUGAUCUCGUCAGAUCUGAGAAGCUAAGCUGGGUCGGGCCUGGUUAGUACUUGGAUGGGAGACCACCUAGGAAUACCAGGUGCUGUAGGCA